CGGGUGAGUAACGCGUGGGGAAUCUGCCUUUGAGCGGGGGACAACAUUUGGAAACGAAUGCUAAUACCGCAUAAAAACUUUAAACACAAGUUUUAAGUUUGAAAGAUGCAAUUGCAUCACUCAAAGAUGAUCCCGCGUUGUAUUAGCUAGUUGGUGAGGUAAAAGCUCACCAAGGCGAUGAUACAUAGCCGACCUGAGAGGGUGAUCGGCCACAUUGGGACUGAGACACGGCCCAAACUCCUACGGAAGGCAGCAG
This 256-nucleotide ribosomal RNA is filed under the name uncultured bacterium. RNAcentral describes it as "partial 16S ribosomal RNA". It matches the Rfam family "Bacterial small subunit ribosomal RNA", at positions 103 to 354 of the family's 1533-position model. The record is from RNAcentral.